RNAcentral lists this transfer RNA (71 nucleotides) under Hyperopisus bebe. Its description in RNAcentral is "tRNA-Met". The record is from RNAcentral. Lineage: Eukaryota; Metazoa; Chordata; Actinopteri; Osteoglossiformes; Mormyridae.
AGUAAAAGUCAGCUAAAUAAGCUUUCGGGCCCAUACCCCGAGAAUGUGGGGUUAAACCCCCUCCUUUGCUA